CCCAGGAGGGGCUGCCCUCACCAUCUCACUCCUCUGGGAUCCUCCUCUUCCCUGACCCUGAUUUGUGUCUGUCAUGAUGCUUUCAGUUUACCCAGGUGGCUUAGGAGGAAGGCUAGAACUGUGGAGCCCAGAACUGAUCUCUGCUGUCUCUUCUCCAGGGGGAGAAUAAAUGACAGAGGUCUUCAUAAAGAAAUGACUCCCAUGAGGGCUGACAUCCCCCAGCAAUUGGAGCCGAGGAGGAAACACCCUAAAAGCCCAAAUCACGGAAGCAGGACCCACAUCAAGCUGUCGUGGAGGCACUGGGGACAUGGGGUGAGCAAGGCAGACCGAUGCCAGCUCUCAGGAAAAUGCAUGUUGGCACAGGAGUCAGACAUCUGAUCGCUAAUCACGAGCCUGAGCUGAGCCCACAUUGGAAAUAGAGAAUGGAGGGAGCCGAUGGAAGACAGGAAAGCAGCAGGUUUGGAGGAUGAGAAUAACCCAAAGAUGGCCAAGGCAAUGGUGGAGCAGGUGGUUGGCACAGGAGGUAAGAAGAAGGACAAGUUGAAUUCAGAGAAAUCA
Ailuropoda melanoleuca (giant panda) is the source of this 558-nucleotide long non-coding RNA. RefSeq lists it as uncharacterized. NCBI's taxonomy places the organism in Eukaryota, Metazoa, Chordata, Mammalia, Carnivora, Ursidae. The transcript has 3 exons. The record is from RefSeq and is a predicted model, not a curated record.